UUUAACCAUUCAAAACUUGUUUAAAUAUUUUUAAUCCAUCGAUUUCCCUCGCUAGUAGGUUGAUUUUUUGGCAAAAUAACAGGCUUUAAUACAAUUUUAAAACAAUUAAAAAAGAUUUAUUUUUUAAUUUUUUCCUUGUUCAAAUUUGAUUUUUUUUUUUUUCAUAAAAACGAAAAUAUCUUGGGCAAAUUACCUGAUCUGUAAUCUACGACCCAAUCUUAAGUUCACGUGUUUCGGCGUUUUUUUUAUGUGAUUUCAAAACUUGAGAUUUUGGUUACAAUAUUACCGUUGUGACAUGUGGAGCUGCUAACAAAAAGAGUUUAAUUGAAGUGUUGGCUCAUUAAAUACGUUCCGAGAAAACGGCCUAAACCAUAAAACACAGUUUUGGCGAGUUACCUUAAAAAUUAUUGGAUUCUAAUUCUGAGGCUCAGUUCAAGCAAGCAUUCUUUAGAACUGCCUGUUUGCAAACAUGACCAGAUCAGUGUUGCUUUCAAGAAACUUGAAUCAACAUUCAUAUUUUUUAAUAUCUGGAGUUAAACGAAGAAACCCUGCAAAAUCCAGCAGCAUCCUUCUAUAAGAUUUUUUUUACUUAAUUCACAUAAGAGUGUGGCGAUAUUUCAUUCUACACAUUUAUGGGCCUAUAAUUUAUCAUAAAGAUAGAACCAAAGAAGAAAAUAAAGGACAUGUCAAAAAACUGCCUAAAGGUAUGCUACAUUUUUGUUUUAAUCAAGUGCUAACCACACACUCGGUAAGUACACGUGCUAAUCACAUAUCUUUAGAAAUUAUGAAAGCAAAUCUGUAAGCACUUGAGUUAUGUGAAGUCAAUUUGAUCGAAAUAAAGUGAUUUAUGCUGUAAUGUGAAUAUGGUUUAAAGAGACUACUUCAUUUAAAAUCGAUUUAAUAUCCGUAUACUGAAAAUUUUUGAAAUACGAAAACUCCAAUAUUUCAAUAACUAAAUAUGUAUGCUGAAUUACUCUAAGUUAAUAGUUUCAUAUUCACAACGCUCAGUUAACAAAAGUUUAAACCAGCAGGCUCCCAUAGUUAAACUCUUAUGAAAUACAAAUUUUGUUUUUUUGUGGACGAAUUUCAAAUUCGAAUACAAAAUUAUUGAUUUUUAGAAUUUGUAUAUUUUUAGGCGAUAUGAAUUUCUAUAGUUAACUAGUGGCUCUGAAUAAAAAUGCAAAGUUAAACUCUUGUUGGUGGUUAAGUUAACAGUCGUUUAACUAAGCACUGUGAAUCUGGCCCUAAGUCUAAUUGAGCAUAUUAUUGAAAAAGUUGAAAAAAUUACUUAUAAUAUGUGCGCCGGGCGUAUGCACAUAUUUCAGGUUCGCGAGAGCUUGUACUUUUUUACUUGUUUUUAAUAUUUUUUCUUUAAAGGUACAUUUGACUUCAUCAAAGGCUUAUACCAAAAUUGACUAUAUUUUAGUUUAACUGUAAUAAUCUUUAAUACCAACUAAAUUAUGUGUGUGAAAUAUAAAUGGUAUUUAAAACUAAUUAAACCCUCAGAAAAUCUCUAGGGAUUUAGUAAAAAAAUAUUUAAAUAUAUGGGGCCCGCCGAAGACAUAUUCCCUGCAGCCCGGUCCGGCUCUAUGUAUAUGUAUACACAUGUAUAUUUUGCGCGGAAUAGGCAUAAAACCCAAGUCGCCUAAGUGAAUCUUAAACUACGUUUAUCUUUAUGUUUUCACACGGGUAUAUACAGCUUGGAUAAAUUUUCUGGAUUUGAAUACAAACCAUUUUGAAAUUGAGUUAAGCCUCAAGCCAGUUAAAAAAAAAA
Long non-coding RNA from Rhagoletis zephyria (snowberry fruit fly), 1774 nucleotides. RefSeq lists it as uncharacterized. The record is from RefSeq and is a predicted model, not a curated record. NCBI's taxonomy places the organism in Eukaryota, Metazoa, Arthropoda, Insecta, Diptera, Tephritidae.